UACGAAGGGUGCAAGCGUUGUUCGGAUUUAUUGGGCGUAAAGCGCGCGUAGGCGGACCUGCAAGUCAGAUGUGAAAUCUCGGGGCUCAACCUCGAAACUGCGUCUGAAACUACAGGUCUAGAAUCUUGGAGGGGGUAGGGGAAUUUCGCAUGUAGGGGUAAAAUCCGUAGAUAUGCGAAGGAACACCAGAGGCGAAGGCGCCUACCUGGACAAGUAUUGACGCUGAGGCGCGAAAGCGUGGGGAUCAAACAGG
RNAcentral lists this ribosomal RNA (253 nucleotides) under uncultured bacterium. RNAcentral describes it as "partial 16S ribosomal RNA". It matches the Rfam family "Bacterial small subunit ribosomal RNA", at positions 524 to 776 of the family's 1533-position model. The record is from RNAcentral.